This 805-nucleotide ribosomal RNA is filed under the name uncultured Bacteroidota bacterium. RNAcentral's name for it is "bacterial SSU rRNA". It matches the Rfam family "Bacterial small subunit ribosomal RNA", at positions 64 to 875 of the family's 1533-position model. The record is from RNAcentral. Lineage: Bacteria; Pseudomonadati; Bacteroidota.
GAGGGGUAUAGUUCUUCGGAGCUAGAGACCGGCGCACGGGUGCGUAACGCGUAUGCAAUCUACCUUUUACAGAGGGAUAGCCCAGAGAAAUUUGGAUUAAUACCUCAUAGUAUGUGAGAAUCGCAUGGUUUUCACAUUAAAGUUCCAACGGUAAAAGAUGAGCAUGCGUCCCAUUAGCUAGAUGGUAAGGUAACGGCUUACCAUGGCGACGAUGGGUAGGGGUCCUGAGAGGGAGAUCCCCCACACUGGUACUGAGACACGGACCAGACUCCUACGGGAGGCAGCAGUGAGGAAUAUUGGACAAUGGGCGCAAGCCUGAUCCAGCCAUGCCGCGUGCAGGAUGACGGUCCUAUGGAUUGUAAACUGCUUUUGUACAGGAAGAAACACUCCCUCGUGAGGGAGCUUGACGGUACUGUAAGAAUAAGGAUCGGCUAACUCCGUGCCAGCAGCCGCGGUAAUACGGAGGAUCCAAGCGUUAUCCGGAAUCAUUGGGUUUAAAGGGUCCGUAGGCGGUUUAAUAAAUCAGUGGUGAAAGCCCAUCGCUCAACGGUGGAACGGCCAUUGAUACUGUUAAACUUGAAUUAUUAGGAAGUAACUAGAAUAUGUAGUGUAGCGGUGAAAUGCUUAGAGAUUACAUGGAAUACCAAUUGCGAAGGCAGGUUACUACUAAUGGAUUGACGCUGAUGGACGAAAGCGUGGGUAGCGAACAGGAUUAGAUACCCUGGUAGUCCACGCCGUAAACGAUGGAUACUAGCUGUUGGGCGCAAGUUCAGUGGCUAAGCGAAAGUGAUAAGUAUCCCACCUG